CCUACGGGAGGCAGCAGUGAGGAAUAUUGGACAAUGGCCGCAAGGCUGAACCAGCCAAGUCGCGUGAAGGAAGAAGGAGCUAUGGUUUGUAAACGUCUUUUAUCGGGGAAUAAAGGUAUCCACGUGUGGAUAUUUGCAUGUACCCUAUGAAUAAGCAUCGGCUAACUUCGCGCCGGCAGCCGCGGCAAUACGGAGGAUGCGAGCGUUAUGCGGAUUUAUUGGGUUUAAAGGGUAAGUAGGUUGUUUGUUAAGUCAGCGGUGAAAGUGUGUGGCUUAACCAUAAAAUUGCCGUUGACACUGGUAGACUUGAGUGUGUUUGAGGGAGGCGGAAUGCGUGGUGUAGCGGUGAAAUGCAUAGAGAUCACGCAGAACUCCGAUUGCGAAGGCAGCCUACUAAGCAAUAACUGACACUGAGGCACGAAAGCGUGGGGAUCAAACAGGAUUAGAUACCCGGGUAGUC
This 460-nucleotide ribosomal RNA is filed under the name uncultured bacterium. RNAcentral describes it as "partial 16S ribosomal RNA". It matches the Rfam family "Bacterial small subunit ribosomal RNA", at positions 338 to 795 of the family's 1533-position model. The record is from RNAcentral.